RNAcentral lists this ribosomal RNA (971 nucleotides) under Scathophaga cineraria. RNAcentral describes it as "eukaryotic LSU rRNA". It matches the Rfam family "Eukaryotic large subunit ribosomal RNA", at positions 122 to 916 of the family's 3401-position model. The record is from RNAcentral. RNAcentral also lists the same sequence under 1 other name. Lineage: Eukaryota; Metazoa; Arthropoda; Insecta; Diptera; Scathophagidae.
UGUCUUUAUGGCAAAUGUGAGAUGCAGUGUAUGGAAUGUCAAAUUUCUAGUAUGAGAAAUUAACGAUUUAAGUCCUUCUUAAAUGAGGCCAUUUACCCAAAGAGGGUGCCAGGCCCGUAUAACGUUAAUGAUUACUAGAUGACAUUUCCAAAGAGUCGUGUUGCUUGAUAGUGCAGCACUAAGUGGGUGGUAAACUCCAUCUAAAACUAAAUAUAACCAUGAGACCGAUAGUAAACAAGUACCGUGAGGGAAAGUUGAAAAGAACUCUGAAUAGAGAGUUAAAUAGUACGUGAAACUGCUUAGAGGUUAAGCCCGAUGAACCUGAAUAUCCAUUAUGGAAAAUUCAUCAUUAUGAUUUUAAUAUUUAUAAUAUUAUAAUAAUGGUGUGCAUUUUUUCCAUAUAAGGACAUUGUAAUCUAUUAACAAACAGAUUUAUUAUAAGAUCAUUGCUUUAGUUUAUUCAAAUUAUUUUGCUUGCGAUUUAACAUAGAAUAAAUGCUUUUGAUUUGAUAAAGCGUUGAUAGAUUCAUUAUAUAUAGUGCUUGAAUAUAUUUAUAUAUUCUAUAAUAGCGUAUUGAUCAAUGAUUUUUAUGUUCAUUAUAUGCACUUAUAUGAUUAACAAUGCGAAAGAUUCAGGAUACCUUCGGGACCCGUCUUGAAACACGGACCAAGGAGUCUAACAUAUUUGCAAGUUAUUGGGAAUUAAAAACCUAAUAGCGAAAUUAACAUAACUUAUAUAAUGGGAUUAGUUUUUAGGUCUAUUUAUAGUCUAUUAAUUCAAUCCCGGGGCGUUCUAUACAGUUAUGUAUAAUAGUAUUUAUAUUAUUUAUACCUCUAACUAGAGCGUACCUUGAGCAUAUAUGCUGUGACCCGAAAGAUGGUGAACUAUACUUGAUCAGGUUGAAGUCAGGGGAAACCCUGAUGGAAGACCGAAACAGUUCUGACGUGCAAAUCGAUUGUCAGAAUUGAGU